AGCAACAACUCAUUGAUAUUUGAACUAACUUUGCAUUUCUAGGAUAAACCCCACUUGGUCAUGAUGUACUAUUGUUUUCAUAAAUUCCUGGAUUCCUAUGCUAACUUUUUUAUGUGUGUAUGAGGAUUUCUGUACCUAUGUUUAUUGAAUUUGAUAGGUUUUAGUAUCAAGUUUCUGUGGGCUUCAUGAAAAAUAUUGGAGAAUGUUCCCUUUAUUUUCUGGAAGAGUUUGUGAAAGAUUAGAAUUAUUUCUUCCUUAAGUGUAUGAUAGAUAGAAUUCAGUAGUGAAACUUGAAGCGUUUUUUUUUUUUUUGUCAGAGGUGUUUUGUUUCUUUUUAUCUAGGUAUAACUUACAGUAAAAUUAACACUGUUUUGGUGUACAGUACUAUGAGUUCUGUGAACCUAUGAAUUAAAUAAGUUUUCAUUUCUCUCAGGAGAUUGGAACACAGAGAGAGAUGCCAGGGGUGCAGGAGUGACGACCACGCAAAGAGGCAGCAAGAAGUGGGCAUCUGCAGCCAAGGGGAGGCCUCAGAGGAAACCAAGCCUGCCAGCGCCUUAGUCUCGGACUUCAAGCCUUCAGAACUGUGCGAAAAUAAAUGUCUGUUGUUUAAGCCCCUCAGUCUGUGGGAUUUUGUUAUGGAAGCCCUAGUGAUGAAUAUUAGACUUUUCAAAAACCUACUUUUGCUUUGUUGAUUUUCUCUAUUUUCAGUUUCAUUGAUUUCUCCUCUUAAUUACUUUAUUUUACUUCCUUUGCAUUUAAUUUACUCUUCAUUUACUAGCCUAAGGUAAUGCUUAAAUAAUUUAAACUUUCUUUUCUGAAAUAAGUAUUUCAAGUCAUAAUUCUAAAAUAAGCAUUUUAAUUCAUAAACUUCCCUUUAACAUCUGUUUUAGCUUUAUCCUGCAGAUGCUCAUGUAGCUUUCUUCUUUGACACUUGUUAAUUGUCUAUGGCCAUAUGUUUUAUUCCCACAUAUGAUACAAACCCCACAGUACACUGUCAUUCAUUUUACUUUGAACAACCAUUUGAUUUUUCUUUAAGAAAGGAAAAUUGUUUUCAUAUUGAUCCACAUAAUCUAGUCACCAUUUCCAGAGCUUUCGUUCCUUCCUGGAGACCUGACUCUGCAUCUGGAAAUUCUUCCAGCAUUUCCCUCAGCAUUCCUGCAGGAUGGGUUACUGGUGGACAAAUUCUGUUUUUUGUUCAUCUCAAAAUGUUUAAUUUGCCUUCAGUUUUGAAAGAUGUUUUCCUGUGUAUUGAUCCUAAAUUUGACAAUCCUCCCUUUAGCACCUAAAGAUAUCAUUCCAUUUUCUCCGGGCCUGUAUUGUUUCUAAAGAAAUGUAAG
This 1337-nucleotide long non-coding RNA is filed under the name Equus asinus (donkey). Its description in RNAcentral is "lncRNA (ENSEASG00005032798.1)". Lineage: Eukaryota; Metazoa; Chordata; Mammalia; Perissodactyla; Equidae. The record is from RNAcentral.